UGUGUAGGCGGUUGUUUAAGUUUGGUGUGAAAUCUCCCGGCUCAACUGGGAGGGUGCGCCGAAUACUGAAUGACUCGAGUGCGGGAGAGGAGAGUGGAAUUCCUGGUGUAGCGGUGAAAUGCGUAGAUAUCAGGAGGAACACCGGUGGUGUAGACGGCUCUCUGGACCGUAACUGACGCUGAGACACGAAAGCGUGGGUAGCAAACAGGAUUAGAUACCCUGGUAGUCCACGCCCUAAACGAUGCAUAUUUGGUGUGGGCAGUUCAGUCUGUCCGUGCCGGAGCUAACGCGUUAAAUAUGCCGCCUGGGGAGUACAGUCGCAAGGCUGAA
Molecule: ribosomal RNA, 330 nt
Filed under: uncultured bacterium
Lineage: Bacteria
Description: bacterial SSU rRNA
Rfam family: Bacterial small subunit ribosomal RNA
Source: RNAcentral